CUCUCCGCAGUGUGUUAGAGGCGGCGAGGGAAAUCUCGCGAUACUCGUUGUCGAGGUUACGGGCGGGAAGGCAAGCUGCAAGAUGGCGGCUCUGGUUCUCAAGGCCUUUCCUCCUCACCAUCCCCGCUCCCAAAAGGGCUGUUCUUCCCUACAGUGCCCGGCUCCGAACUUUCAGCCACUCUUGGGUCCUAUCUCUUUAUAAGAGCUCCUACUGUGCCCUAUUGAGGCCUCAGAUCCGUCAGGCAGCAUCCUCAUUCCCUCACAGCCCAGGACAGCUGUUACCACAGCAAGACUCACAGAGGACCUUCAUCCUGCACAGCAUCUCCUCAGGGCCUGAAAUGAGGUAUAGGAUUGAACAGAAAGCAGUUACCAGCCCCAAUGAUACCCUAUAGCCAUUGACUCCUUAAGGCCAGACUCAGCCCUACGUCCUGCUUCCUUAUGUGGGAAAAAAGAGUAUCAUCAGAAAGAAAAGAGCACCCUUCAGGAACCUACGAUGGCAGCAUUAGGAUGGCCAUCGAGCAAUCAAGAGACAGAACUGGGGAGAAUUGUAUUUCCCUAAGGAAGAAGCUGUGCAGAUGCUUGCAGAGGGCACAGUCCCUGCUUGUACCCAGAGGUGGAGAGCUUCCCUGGUGCUACACCAACACAGGUCAACUCUUCAGGCUGUUGCUUGUCUUUUCACCCUUUGCUAAUGCAUAAUGCAAUAUGGAACAAAUUCACAUUCACCUCAAUAAUUUUUGUUACAAAACUACAAUCGACUUUCUUUUAAAUCCUGACUUUCGCCUGGGAUAAUUAUAUCACCUCAUCUGGUACAAGCAAUCCUAUAGCAUCUCUCUUGUCAGUUCCCCGUUGGGCAGAAAUGUGUUCCCAAACUCCUCUUUUCCAAAGAAUGCACAUGUAAGUUCUCGCCUAUUUUUUCAAUAACAUGAAUUCCCUCCCACACACACUUUUUCUUCUUGCCAAGAGCAGCAUAGGAAGACAGCAGCGUAGGAGUUAUCUGCUUGAAUUGGUUGACACAACCAUAGUGGAUCCUCACUUGCUCUCAGAAUGCUUCUUUCAUGUUACGGAGAGAAUGAAACUCAAGCUGGAAACUUCUCUUGGUCACCACUUCAGUAACCAGUGUUUGCCAGCAGAUACCAAUGCUUAUUUUCCCCUUUAAAAGCCUCCUUGCUACUCAAGCCACAACAAAAAGAAGCAUAAAUCCAAAUUCUGAGGAAAAAGAAACCCCUCCUCAGCAAGACAUUGCCUUCAAGUGGGAAAAGUGCCAGAGACUCCAUUAAGUCUGCUUUGCUAUUCUUAUUGAUUUUAUGUGGAAGGCACUCAGAUACUGAUGGGGAUGAACAAUAGGCCAAGGGCUGAGGUACUGCGUUAGGAAACACAGCUUGUGAUGCAGAGUGAUCAUUCAGCUCUUUCACAGUGAUCACAUUCACAUUAAUAAGUCCGUCCUGUGUCUGUGCUAAUGUAUUUUCAUGCCAGUAUUACAAAGCUGAUGUAAUGUUAUAUUCAGCGGUGCGGUGCUGGUUACAGUUGUCAGCUCCAGCUGAUUGAAGUGGAACUUUAAGAAAUGGAACAAGAUGUGUCACAGCUCGUUGUACUAAUUCUGCUUCAAGCUGCUUUUGCCAUGAAGUUUGGUUCAGGAACCUGAAAGAAAGCACUUUGCAUGGAAAGACUGAGCUGAGCUUUUGCUAACUCCCAGAUUUUGGCUGUCUCCUUUGCAGGCAUCAGCACUGUUACAACACGUCUUCAUUUGAUGCGUGCUACUUUGUCAUCCAUUUUUUAGUUGGAUUGUUGAAAAACAACUGUUGCACUGUACUGAUAGAGACUGUCUAAUGAUAAUAAUAUAAUAAUCCUGCAGAAAGUUCUCCUUCUCAGCUCUCUAAGUACUUACUUUUCCUUCUG
Long non-coding RNA from Coturnix japonica (Japanese quail), 1896 nucleotides. RefSeq lists it as uncharacterized. The record is from RefSeq and is a predicted model, not a curated record. Lineage: Eukaryota; Metazoa; Chordata; Aves; Galliformes; Phasianidae.